UUGAACGCUGGCGGCAGGCCUAACACAUGCAAGUCGAGCGGAUGAAGGGAGCUUGCUCCUGGAUUCAGCGGCGGACGGGUGAGUAAUGCCUAGGAAUCUGCCUGGUAGUGGGGGAUAACGUCCGGAAACGGGCGCUAAUACCGCAUACGUCCUGAGGGAGAAAGUGGGGGAUCUUCGGACCUCACGCUAUCAGAUGAGCCUAGGUCGGAUUAGCUAGUUGGUGGGGUAAAGGCCUACCAAGGCGACGAUCCGUAACUGGUCUGAGAGGAUGAUCAGUCACACUGGAACUGAGACACGGUCCAGACUCCUACGGGAGGCAGCAGUGGAAUAUUGGACAAUGGGCGAAAGCCUGAUCCAGCCAUGCCGCGUGUGUGAAGAAGGUCUUCGGAUUGUAAAGCACUUUAAGUUGGGAGGAAGGGCAGUAAGUUAAUACCUUGCUGUUUUGACGUUACCAACAGAAUAAGCACCGGCUAACUUCGUG
This 481-nucleotide ribosomal RNA is filed under the name uncultured bacterium. RNAcentral describes it as "partial 16S ribosomal RNA". It matches the Rfam family "Bacterial small subunit ribosomal RNA", at positions 30 to 507 of the family's 1533-position model. The record is from RNAcentral.